Molecule: ribosomal RNA, 230 nt
Filed under: uncultured bacterium
Lineage: Bacteria
Description: partial 16S ribosomal RNA
Rfam family: Bacterial small subunit ribosomal RNA
Source: RNAcentral
AAAGGGUGCGUAGGUGGCCUGUUAAGUCAGGGGUGAAAGACGGUAGCUUAACUAUCGCAGUGCCCUUGAUACUGAUGGGCUUGAAUGAACUAGAGGUAGGCGGAAUGUGACAAGUAGCGGUGAAAUGCAUAGAUAUGUCACAGAACACCAAUUGCGAAGGCAGCUUACUAUGGUUUUAUUGACACUGAGGCACGAAAGCGUGGGGAUCAAACAGGAUUAGAUACCCCGGU